AGAGUUUGAUUAUGGCUCAGGAUGAACGCUAGCGACAGGCUUAACACAUGCAAGUCGAGGGGCAGCGGGGGAGCAGCAAUGCUCCUGCCGGCGACCGGCGCACGGGUGAGUAACACGUAUGGAACCUGCCCGCAGCAGGGGGAUAAGCGGAAGAAAUUCCGUCUAAUACCGCGUAACACCGCGGAGGGGCAUCCCUCGGCGGUUAAAGAUUCAUCGGCUGCGGAUGGCCAUGCGGCGCAUUAGCUAGUCGGCGGGGUAACGGCCCACCGAGGCGACGAUGCGUAGGGGUUCUGAGAGGAAGGUCCCCCACACUGGUACUGAGACACGGACCAGACUCCUACGGGAGGCAGCAGUGAGGAAUAUUGGUCAAUGGCCGGGAGGCUGAACCAGCCAAGUCGCGUGAGGGAAGACGGCCCUACGGGUUGUAAACCUCUUUUGUCAGGGAGCAAGAGGCGGGUCGGGACCUGCUGUGAGAGUACCUGAAGAAAAAGCAUCGGCUAACUCCGUGCCAGCAGCCGCGGUAAUACGGAGGAUGCGAGCGUUAUCCGGAUUUAUUGGGUUUAAAGGGUGCGCAGGCGGAGGCACAAGUCAACGGUAAAAUCGCGGGGCU
This 610-nucleotide ribosomal RNA is filed under the name uncultured bacterium. RNAcentral describes it as "bacterial SSU rRNA". It matches the Rfam family "Bacterial small subunit ribosomal RNA", at positions 8 to 609 of the family's 1533-position model. The record is from RNAcentral.